This 199-nucleotide ribosomal RNA is filed under the name uncultured bacterium. Its description in RNAcentral is "partial 16S ribosomal RNA". It matches the Rfam family "Bacterial small subunit ribosomal RNA", at positions 328 to 539 of the family's 1533-position model. The record is from RNAcentral.
ACGCUCGACACCUACGGGAGGCAGUAGUGGGGAAUAUUGCACAAUGGGGGAAACCCUGAUGCAGCGACGCCGCGUGACUGAAGAAGUAUUUCGGUAUGUAAAGGUCUAUCAGCAGGGAAGAAAGAAGACGGUACCUGACUAAGAAGCCCCGGCUAACUACGUGCCAACAGCCGCGGUAAUCUGAGCGGGCUGGCAAGGC